ACUCAAAGGAAUUGACGGGGGCCCGCACAAGCGGUGGAGUAUGUGGUUUAAUUCGAAGCAACGCGCAGAACCUUACCUACCCUUAACAUCCCGGGACAGCCGCAGAGAUGUGGUCUUCCCUUCGGGGACUCGGUGAUAGGUGCUGCAUGGCUGUCGUCAGCUCGUGUCGUAAGAUGUCCGGUUAAGUCCGAUAACGAGCGCAACCCUUGUCCUUAGUUACCAGCAUUAAGUUGGGGACUCUGAGGAGACUGCCGGUGUUAAACCGGAGGAAGGCGGGGAUGACGUCAAGUCCUCAUGGCCCUUACGGGUAGGGCUACACACGUACUACAAUGGCAGGAACAGACCGUCGCGAAGCCGUAAGGUGGAGCUAAUCGGUAAAACACUGUCUCAGUCCGGAUUGAGGUCUGCAACUCGACCUCAUGAAGCUGGAAUCGCUAGUAAUCGCUGAUCAGCAAGCAGCGGUGAAUACGUUCUCGGGCCUUGCACACACCGCCCGU
Molecule: ribosomal RNA, 497 nt
Filed under: uncultured bacterium
Lineage: Bacteria
Description: partial 16S ribosomal RNA
Rfam family: Bacterial small subunit ribosomal RNA
Source: RNAcentral